RNAcentral lists this ribosomal RNA (253 nucleotides) under uncultured bacterium. RNAcentral's name for it is "partial 16S ribosomal RNA". It matches the Rfam family "Bacterial small subunit ribosomal RNA", at positions 524 to 776 of the family's 1533-position model. The record is from RNAcentral.
UACAGAGGGUGCAAGCGUUAAUCGGAAUUACUGGGCGUAAAGGGCGCGUAGGCGGAUAGGCAAGUGAGAUGUGAAAUACCCGGGCUUAACCUGGGAACUGCAUCUUAAACUGCGUAUCUGGAGUACUGUAGAGGACAGUGGAAUUUCCGGUGUAGCGGUGAAAUGCGUAGAUAUCAGGAGGAACACCGGUGGUGUAGACGGCUUUCUGGACCGUAACUGACGCUGAGACACGAAAGCGUGGGUAGCAAACAGG